UAUCUGAGAGAUGAGUGGCCACUACAGUAAUUGACUGAACAGUAUUUCAGCAGAAAUUCUGAUGAGAUUUUCUUCCUUGUUUUCCUCUUUCUCUGAUAGGUGCCCCAGGUGACCCUGGCAGCCCAGGAAUACCUGGUCCUCCAGGAGAUGAAGGGGUCAUUGGUUUACCAGGCCUUCCAGGGGCUCCAGGGUUUCCAGGCCUGGAGAGAGAUGGAAUGGGCCCUGGAGGGUCUCCAGGUAUUCCAGGAGUGAAGGGUGAAGUGGGAGAACCAGGAAGAGCAACAAUUGGAAUACCAGGCCCUCCUGGCAGAGGUGGUUUACCAGGUCUGCCAGGGGCACCAGGAUUGCCUGGUUCACCACGCCCUUCAUUCUCCCCAGUGAUAAUCCUGAGUGGAAGGACUGGAGCCCCAGGGCAGCCUGGGCAAAGAGGGCUGCCAGGAGCUUUGGGUCCAAAAGGCUACAAAGGAGAGGCAGGUGGUUGUGCUUGUGAUGGAGGAGUUACAAGAGCUGGCCUAAAAGGCAUCUCAGGCCCUCCAGGUCUGUCAGGAAGCCCUGGUGUACCUGGUGCCAAGGGUGUUGGUGGAGACC
RNAcentral lists this long non-coding RNA (588 nucleotides) under Lonchura striata (white-rumped munia). RNAcentral describes it as "domestica (Bengalese finch) lncRNA (ENSLSDG00000001090.1)". Lineage: Eukaryota; Metazoa; Chordata; Aves; Passeriformes; Estrildidae. The record is from RNAcentral.